GGGUGCGAACAUACUAGCACUAAUGCUCCGGAUCUCAUCAGAACUCUGUAGUUAAGCGUGCUUGGGCGAGAGUAGUACUAAGUUGGGCGACCACUUGGGAAUUCCUUUGUUGCACCCU
Ribosomal RNA from Cucurbita maxima (winter squash), 118 nucleotides. NCBI's taxonomy places the organism in Eukaryota, Viridiplantae, Streptophyta, Magnoliopsida, Cucurbitales, Cucurbitaceae. The record is from RefSeq and is a predicted model, not a curated record.